CCGUCCCUACGGGACGCAGCAGUGGGGAAUAUUGGGCAAUGGGCGCAAGCCUGACCCAGCAACGCCGCGUGAAGGAAGAAGGCUUUCGGGUUGUAAACUUCUUUUCUCAGGGACGAAGCAAGUGACGGUACCUGAGGAAUAAGCCACGGCUAACUACGUGCCAGCAGCCGCGGUAAUACGUAGGUGGCAAGCGUUAUCCGGAUUUACUGGGUGUAAAGGGCGUGUAGGCGGGGACGCGAGUCAGAUGUGAAAAUCAUGGG
RNAcentral lists this ribosomal RNA (260 nucleotides) under uncultured bacterium. Its description in RNAcentral is "partial 16S ribosomal RNA". It matches the Rfam family "Bacterial small subunit ribosomal RNA", at positions 334 to 607 of the family's 1533-position model. The record is from RNAcentral.